RNAcentral lists this ribosomal RNA (253 nucleotides) under uncultured bacterium. RNAcentral's name for it is "partial 16S ribosomal RNA". It matches the Rfam family "Bacterial small subunit ribosomal RNA", at positions 524 to 776 of the family's 1533-position model. The record is from RNAcentral.
GACAGAGGUCCCGAGCGUUAGGCGGAAUCACUGGGCUUAAAGCGUGUGUAGGCGGAUUGGUAAGUACCUCGUGAAAUCCCACGGCUCAACCGUGGAACUGCUUGGUAUACUGCUUAUCUUGGGCCACUUAGGGGUUACCGGAACAAACGGUGGAGCGGUGAAAUGCGUAGAUAUCGUUUGGAACGCCAAUGGUGAAAACAGGUAACUGGGAGUGUGCCGACGCUGAGACACGAAAGCCAGGGGAGCGAACGGG